This 288-nucleotide ribosomal RNA is filed under the name uncultured bacterium. RNAcentral describes it as "partial 16S ribosomal RNA". It matches the Rfam family "Bacterial small subunit ribosomal RNA", at positions 773 to 1060 of the family's 1533-position model. The record is from RNAcentral.
GUGGAUUAGAUACCCUGGUAGUCCACGCUGUAAACGAUGAGAACUAGAUGUUGGCAGGCUUGACCUGUUAGUAUCGAAGCUAACGCGAUAAGUUCUCCGCCUGGGGAGUACGGCCGCAAGGUUAAAACUCAAAGGAAUUGACGGGGGCCCGCACAAGCGGUGGAGCAUGUGGUUUAAUUCGAUGCAACGCGAAGAACCUUACCUACCCUUGACAUCCAAAGAAUUUUGCAGAGAUGCGAAAGUGCCGAAAGGAGCUUUGAGACAGGUGCUGCACGGCUGUCGUCAGCU